ACGUCAAAUCAUCAUGCCCCUUAUGACCUGGGCUACACACGUGCUACAAUGGACGGUACAAAGAGCUGCAAGACCGCGAGGUGGAGCUAAUCUCAUAAAACCGUUCUCAGUUCGGAUUGUAGGCUGCAACUCGCCUACAUGAAGCUGGAAUCGCUAGUAAUCGCGGAUCAGCAUGCCGCGGUGAAUACGUUCCCGGGCCUUGUACACACCGCCCGUCACACCACGAGAGUUUGUAACACCCGAAGUCGGUGGGGUAACCUUUUUGGAGCCAGCCGCCUAAGGUGGGACAGAUGAUUGGGGUGAAGUCGUAACAAGGUAGCCGUAUCGGAAGGUGCGGCUGGAUCACCUCCUUU
RNAcentral lists this ribosomal RNA (353 nucleotides) under Aquiflexum gelatinilyticum. Its description in RNAcentral is "bacterial SSU rRNA". It matches the Rfam family "Bacterial small subunit ribosomal RNA", at positions 1182 to 1533 of the family's 1533-position model. Lineage: Bacteria; Pseudomonadati; Bacteroidota; Cytophagia; Cytophagales; Cyclobacteriaceae. The record is from RNAcentral.